UUUUAUAGUUUUUUUUUUUACCGUUGGGUGGGGGGGCAACGGUCAAAUUUUUGACCUUUGGGGUACUGUUCACGCGCGGGGGACAUCGCGUCCACGUCAGCGCGACCUGUUGAUGUGGACGCGAUGUCCUGACACGUACCCUGACAUCGAGCUGACGUGGACGCGAUUUCCCGAAAAAUGGACCAUUCCGGUAAAUAAUCAAAAAAUCGGCCCAUUUCGGUAAAUUUAGGAAAAAAAUGCUUUUU
RNAcentral lists this long non-coding RNA (245 nucleotides) under Gossypium raimondii (Peruvian cotton). Its description in RNAcentral is "long non-coding RNA (GRAI_LNC003135)". Lineage: Eukaryota; Viridiplantae; Streptophyta; Magnoliopsida; Malvales; Malvaceae. The record is from RNAcentral.